RNAcentral lists this ribosomal RNA (253 nucleotides) under uncultured bacterium. Its description in RNAcentral is "partial 16S ribosomal RNA". It matches the Rfam family "Bacterial small subunit ribosomal RNA", at positions 524 to 776 of the family's 1533-position model. The record is from RNAcentral.
UACGAAGGGGGCUAGCGUUGCUCGGAAUUACUGGGCGUAAAGCGCACGUAGGCGGCUUUGUAAGUUAGAGGUGAAAGCCCGGGGCUCAACCCCGGAAUUGCCUUUAAGACUGCAUCGCUUGAAUCCGGGAGAGGAGAGUGGAAUUCCGAGUGUAGAGGUGAAAUUCGUAGAUAUUCGGAAGAACACCAGUGGCGAAGGCGGCUCACUGGACCGGUAUUGACGCUGAGGUGCGAAAGCGUGGGGAGCAAACAGG